This 923-nucleotide small RNA is filed under the name Pongo abelii (Sumatran orangutan). RNAcentral describes it as "retained intron". Lineage: Eukaryota; Metazoa; Chordata; Mammalia; Primates; Hominidae. The record is from RNAcentral.
AGGGCUUCCCGUGCCCCGGGAGCACCGAGGGCCAGCUUGGUGGAGCUUAGCACAGCUUGCUCGGCGCUGCGAGCGGGCGGGGGUGGACACUGGGCUUCUGUGUGCCAGUCGCAGCCGUUGGCUGGCGGGCACCCAAUCCCAGGGCAUGCCGCCGGAGCCUGGCCAGGACGCACGGUGAAAGACGAGUUUGGUGGCAGGCUUGACCCCCCGGCUGCCAGCAGAAGCCGGCGUCGGGAGCCCAGGCGGGCAGGCCGCUGGGGUCGGGGGCUGCACCUACGAGAGCCGGGACCCCCGGGUUCAGAGCGAAGGAGGAGGCAUGGCUUCGGUGUUCAUGUGUGGCGUGGAGGACCUGCUAUUCAGCGGCAGCCGCUUCGUAUGGAACUUGACCGUGUCCACGCUGCGGAGAUGGUACACGGAGAGGCUGCGGGCUUGCCACCAGGUGCUGCGGACGUGGUGCGGGCUGCAGGACGUGUACCAGAUGACAGAAGGCAGGCACUGCCAGGUGCACCUCCUGGAUGACAGGAGACUGGAGCUGCUGGUUCAGCCCAAACUUCUAGCAAGAGAGUUGCUGGACCUAGUGGCUUCACAUUUCAACCUGAAAGAAAAGGAGUAUUUUGGAAUAACAUUCAUAGAUGACACAGGUCAGCAGAACUGGCUACAGUUAGAUCACCGAGUUCUUGACCACGAUUUGCCCAAGAAACCAGGCCCAACCAUUUUGCACUUUGCUGUGAGGUUUUACAUUGAGAGCAUAUCGUUUUUAAAGGAUAAAACCACCGUGGAGCUGUUUUUCCUGAAUGCAAAGGCCUGUGUGCACAAGGUAGGUGCUCCGUUUGUCGUGUUCACUGGAUGCCUCCAGAGCGACUGGGAUGACAGGAAGAAAUGGUUUUGCCUCUCUUCUUGCAUUCAAACUAAGGAAAAAAAAA